ACAAAGUCAUAGAAAUAAAAGCACUAGAGAAAGAAAAGACUGUCAUAUGGCCUAAUGGAUAUUUAAUGGUAAUUACAGAGGAUCAAACUUCACCUACAACAUGACUCUCACUCCUUCCUGGUGGAAAUCUUGAGUAGACUAAGCUGCCGUGAUGCAUCCCUAUUCUUUCUGCCUGGAUUUCCAGCCAACACCGAGCAUUUAGGAAUUGACGAGUUAUGAGUUCAAGCAAAAAUGUAUUAAUAACAUGGUAGCCAGCUAUGAUGGAGCCCAUCUGUAAUCCCAGCAUUCUGGAGGCUGAGCACUACUCACAAUGGCAAAGAUAUAGAAGUAACUUAAGUGUGCACUGACGCAUGCACAGAUAAAGGAAAGUUGGCGCACGUACACAACAGAAUAUUAUUCUGCAGUACAAAGAAG
This 414-nucleotide long non-coding RNA is filed under the name Heterocephalus glaber (naked mole-rat). RNAcentral's name for it is "lncRNA (ENSHGLG00000043023.1)". Lineage: Eukaryota; Metazoa; Chordata; Mammalia; Rodentia; Bathyergidae. The record is from RNAcentral.